Molecule: long non-coding RNA, 1068 nt
Filed under: Vulpes vulpes (red fox)
Lineage: Eukaryota; Metazoa; Chordata; Mammalia; Carnivora; Canidae
Description: lncRNA (ENSVVUG00000028057.1)
Source: RNAcentral
AAGCAUCUGCUGUGCUUUCUCAAGAGGGAGGGGCAGGCGAUCUCCCAGGCAGCAAGACAGCUGCUCCUCCGGGGGGAUGUGUCCUGAGGCCAUAGGCUGGCAGUGGGGGGGGGGGGCCUCACCACAUGGCAUUUCCCUGCCUUGUGCUGGGAUGCUAGCAGUGCCGAGCUAACCUCCGGGUGUGGCCUGUGCCCCAGGAGGAGACCAGACCCCAGGACAUCGAAGCGUCAUUUCCAUUCCCUGAGGACCUUCUCCCCACGGCAUGUAAUUGCUCGCUCCCUGGUUCCGUACUUGGUGGCACUGCCUGGAAAAUGGUGUGGGAAUAAGAAGCAAAACAAAACCCAAAUCUAUGGCAGGGGUAGGGAGGGACCCCUAAUAGUUCACCUUGGAAUCUUAGGUUCAGUCCCAUUAACUGAUCCAAAGCUUGAAAGGAGGGAGGCAGAGGCACACCCAGGUCACUAUCAAGUCCUGUUUGAUUUCUUUUUCUUUUUUUUUUUUUUGUCUCCUAAACAUUCUCAAACCCUUGCACUUCUCACCGCCUCCCCACGCCCGAGUCCAAGCCCCUUGCUCCUCAUCACGCUGUCUGGACGUCUGGACAGGGCAGGGGCCUCUAGCCUCCCCAGUCCUGCUGUGCCCUGGCCCCAGGCUCUGUGGUUCUUUCUCUUCUCCUUUCUUCAUUGUUUACUCUUUCUCUUCCUUGGAGGAUCAGUCCAAGUGUCGUCCCCCGCAGGCUGGCUCAGGCCUGUUUACUGGUGGGUGAAUCCUCCCCGCGUGGGUAUUCCCGGCAGGAUUGUCUCUCCUCAAAAGCAGUGAUCGCAGGUACACGUGCAGUGGUUUCCGUGUGGCUGGCCAGUGCCCGUUUCUUGCACCAAACUGUGAUUUCCGUAUUUGCUAGGAUGGGGCCUGGCUUUGCUCACCAGCCUACCUUCUGCACAGCGUUUGCCGGAUGUGCUGUUUUCCCUCAAUUGAAUCACCGACAACAUCUAACCGCAGCGCUCAUCUCUUUCCUCCAAGCGUUCGGUUUGGAUGGAGUUGAUUGAACAAGCCACUCAGCCAAUUUAAAUCUUU